CAGGUUAUGCUGGGGACUCUAAACAGACUGCCUGCGCAAGCAGUGAGGAAGGCGGGGACGACGUCAGGUCAUCAUGGCCCUUACGCCUAGGGCUACACACGUGCUACAAUGGGCGGUACAGAGGGUCGCUACCUGGUGACAGGAUGCCAAUCUCAAAAAACCGGUCUCAAGUUCGGAUCGAAGUCUGCAACUCGACUUCGUGAAGCUKGAAUCACUAGUAAUCGCGUAUCAGCAAUGACGCGGUGAAUACGUUCCCGGGCCUU
Molecule: ribosomal RNA, 263 nt
Filed under: Taxeobacter-like bacterium G
Lineage: Bacteria; Pseudomonadati; Bacteroidota; Cytophagia; Cytophagales; Cytophagaceae
Description: partial 16S ribosomal RNA
Rfam family: Bacterial small subunit ribosomal RNA
Source: RNAcentral